GCCUGGAUAGCUCAGUUGGUUAGAGCGUGGUGCCAAUAAUGCCAAGGUUACAGGUUCGAUCCCCAUAAGGCU
This 72-nucleotide transfer RNA is filed under the name Podarcis lilfordi (Lilford's wall lizard). RNAcentral describes it as "tRNA.Ile". Lineage: Eukaryota; Metazoa; Chordata; Lepidosauria; Squamata; Lacertidae. The record is from RNAcentral.